RNAcentral lists this ribosomal RNA (253 nucleotides) under uncultured bacterium. Its description in RNAcentral is "partial 16S ribosomal RNA". It matches the Rfam family "Bacterial small subunit ribosomal RNA", at positions 524 to 776 of the family's 1533-position model. The record is from RNAcentral.
UACGAAGGGGGCUAGCGUUGCUCGGAAUCACUGGGCGUAAAGCGCACGUAGGCGGCUUUCUAAGUCAGGGGUGAAAUCCUGGAGCUCAACUCCAGAACUGCCUUUGAUACUGGGAAGCUCGAGUCCGGAAGAGGUAAGUGGAACUCCGAGUGUAGAGGUGAAAUUCGUAGAUAUUCGCAAGAACACCAGUGGCGAAGGCGGCUCACUGGCCCGGUACUGACGCUGAGGCACGAAAGCGUGGGGAGCAAACAGG